CAAUGGCGUAUAUUAAAGUUGUUGCAGUUAAAAAGCUCGUAGUAGGAUUUCUGAUCGAGACAUCAGGUCGGGUCCGAGAGGAUCAUGUACUUUGAUUUUGUUUUGAUCAUCCUUGGGGAGAGCAUUUCUGGCAUUCAGUUGUCGGGAUUGGGAUCCUCAUCGUUUACUGUGAAAAAAUUAGAGUGUUCAAAGCAGGCCUCGGCCUCUGAAUACAUUAGCAUGGAAUAAUAAGAUAGGACUUUGGUGGUCUAUUUUGUUGGUUUGCACGCCAAAGUAAUGAUUAAUAGGGAUAGUUGGGGGUAUUCGUAUUCAAUUGUCAGAGGUGAAAUUCUUGGAUUUAUGGAAGACGAACUACUGCGAAAGCAUUUACCAAGGAUGUUUUCAUUAA
This 388-nucleotide ribosomal RNA is filed under the name uncultured eukaryote. RNAcentral's name for it is "partial 18S ribosomal RNA". It matches the Rfam family "Eukaryotic small subunit ribosomal RNA", at positions 592 to 976 of the family's 1831-position model. The record is from RNAcentral.